RNAcentral lists this long non-coding RNA (727 nucleotides) under Sus scrofa (pig). RNAcentral describes it as "lncRNA (ENSSSCG00070001543.1)". The record is from RNAcentral. Lineage: Eukaryota; Metazoa; Chordata; Mammalia; Artiodactyla; Suidae.
AUCCCACCCCACCCCUUGACUCCCAGCCCAUGUCCAGUCAGGUGAGGUGCCAGAGUACCUCCUGAGCAGCACCACCGCCUUGCUGACAGUGACUGUGUGUCCCCUAGCAACCCUCGAUGAUGUUGUGGAGGCCGGCGGGAGUGAGAAGACUGAGGAGGAGGCCCUGGCUGGGGCAAAUGAGGAGGAGGUGGGGCCGGGAACUGAGAAGGUGCAGGAGGAGGCUGCCUGCAUUGACGAGGCAGAGGAGGAGGCAGGCCCAUCCCUUGAAAAUGACGAGGAGUCCCCAGCCAGCGACCUGGUUGAGCAGGAAGACCAGCUUGCCCCCAAGGUGGACGGGAUGGACGAUGAAAGCCUAUGUUUCAUGGAGAGUCUGAGUGACAGCAACCAUGAUGAAAGUGAUACAGACUCAGUGGUGGAGAGCAUGAGCAGCCGCCAGGAUGAGGAGGCUGCAGCAACCCUCGAUGAUGUUGUGGAGGCCGGCGGGAGUGAGAAGACGGAGGAAGAGGCCCUGGCUGGGGCAAAUGAGGAGGAGGUGGGGCCGGGAACUGAGAAGGUGCAGGAGGAGGCUGCCUGCAUUGACGAGGCAGAGGAGGAGGCAGGCCCAUCCCUUGAAAAUGACGAGGAGUCCCCAGCCAGCGACCUGGUUGAGCAGGAAGACCAGCUUGCCCCCAAGGUAAGCUCACCUUUCUUGAUCGGAGAUUUAAAAAGGUGCCUCCUUUCUUCUUGG